Molecule: non-coding RNA, 117 nt
Filed under: Nomascus leucogenys (northern white-cheeked gibbon)
Lineage: Eukaryota; Metazoa; Chordata; Mammalia; Primates; Hylobatidae
Source: Rfam by way of RNAcentral
GCCAGGCAUGGUGGCUCAUGCCUGUAAUCCCAGCACUCUGGGAGGCUGAGGUGGGUGGAUCACCUGAGGUCAGGAGUUCGAGACCAGCCUGGCCAACAUGGUGAAACCCCGUCUCUA